GAGGCUGUAGUUCAAUUGGUUAGAGCAUCGCCCUGUCACGGCGAAACUUGCGGGUUCAAGUCCCGUCAGCCUCG
This 74-nucleotide transfer RNA is filed under the name Avrainvillea sp. HV04061. Its description in RNAcentral is "tRNA-Asp". It matches the Rfam family "tRNA". From Rfam's summary of the family: Transfer RNA (tRNA) molecules are approximately 80 nucleotides in length. Their secondary structure includes four short double-helical elements and three loops (D, anti-codon, and T loops). Lineage: Eukaryota; Viridiplantae; Chlorophyta; Ulvophyceae; Bryopsidales; Dichotomosiphonaceae. The record is from RNAcentral.